This 484-nucleotide ribosomal RNA is filed under the name uncultured bacterium. RNAcentral describes it as "partial 16S ribosomal RNA". It matches the Rfam family "Bacterial small subunit ribosomal RNA", at positions 30 to 507 of the family's 1533-position model. The record is from RNAcentral.
AUUGAACGCUGGCGGCAGGCCUAACACAUGCAAGUCGAGCGGAUGAAGGGAGCUUGCUCCUGGAUUCAGCGGCGGACGGGUGAGUAAUACCUAGGAAUCUGCCUGGUAGUGGGGGAUAACGACCGGAAACGGGCGCUAAUACCGCAUACGUCCUGAGGGAGAAAGUGGGGGAUCUUCGGACCUCACGCUAUCAGAUGAGCCUAGGUCGGAUUAGCUAGUUGGUGGGGUAAAGGCCUACCAAGGCGACGAUCCGUAACUGGUCUGAGAGGAUGAUCAGUCACACUGGAACUGAGACACGGUCCAGACUCCUACGGGAGGCAGCAGUGGGGAAUAUUGGACAAUGGGCGAAAGCCUGAUCCAGCCAUGCCGCGUGUGUGAAGAAGGUCUUCGGAUUGUAAAGCACUUUAAGUUGGGAGGAAGGGCAGUAAGUUAAUACCUUGCUGUUUUGACGUUACCAACAGAAUAAGCACCGGCUAACUUCGUG